GUGACGAUGAACAAAACAGCUAAAUCAAUGAAUUUUAUUCAGUAUGGUUAGAUAACACAUUGAUCUUUAAUAUGCAACACAGUUUGUGUCACUCGUGCGUAUAGUUCAUGAGUAAUGAAAGUUCGCAGCUCAUUUUUUGAGGUAAAAACUGAUUCCUCUCUCCCGGAAGGGGUAAUUCUUUUUUUUCACACAACAUUUAUUUGACACGGCACAAUACGGGUUAAUUCUUGUCAGAGUUUGGCCAACCAUUGUAUAGCUGAAUGCUUCCGGAAUAUUUUUUUUCCAUGGAACGAAAUCACACAGCCUCUCUGGAUCACUGUCAAAUGGAGCACCAUUUCAGAAAAAGGUCGACUAGUCGUUGGAGUUCGAGACAGUCUACAGUAUUUUAUAUUAUCUUGAACAACUUAAUAUCAUCUGCAAAACACAUACGGUGAUUGUCCGGCAAUAUAAGACAUGCGUCAUUUAAAUACAAUGCAAAGAGCAGUGGUCCUAAAUUACUGCCCUGCGGAACGCCUGAUACAUUCGAAAAAGGAACAGAAUGCUGUGAUCUGCUCUUCACGAAGAGUGUACGAUUUACCAAACAUGACCUCAGCCAUUGUACAAGAGCAGGGACCAUUCCAUGUUUCUUCAUCUUAGCGAGCAGCAGACCAUGAUCGACGCAGUCAAAUACAGCUUUCAAUUCCGUAUAAACCGCAUCGAUUUGGGCACCUUCGGUCAUAUUUUGUAGACCUGUGCUGAUCGAUCGUGAUACAAUGCUUGCAGUUAGCAUCACCUUUUUUGUGCACAGGGAACAUAAUCGAUAGUUUCAAACUGGACGCAAUGAGGAAUGCCGUCAGGCCCAAGAGCGAAAGAGGAAUUCAUCUUGUCGAUUGCAACUUCCACUUGUUAGUUAGUUAUUAUAAAUGAGCUAAAGUCAAUGACGUCUCUGGGGACAUCAUCUGAAGCUAGGCUCAUCUCUGCAGUUGAAGCCGUAGAGCUACGAAAAAUCUGUUGAAAGAGCUGAGCAAAUAAGGCUUGAACGACCAAAAACGCCGUGGAUUAGGUCGGAGUCAGUUCUGCAUACGAACAGUACAUCGUCUGUGCAAGUAGCGAAUAUAAAUUCGAUAAUUCGCAGUGUCGAAGACCUGUCGCAGGCGAGUGUUGGACCAUAGAGGUUUUGGUACUGGUCGGCAAGGAAGGACACACUGAGCGAGUGUCGUUGAAACAUCUGAUUGCAUCUUCGAGGGAAAACCAACUUUUAAGUAAAUUUAGUAAUAUGUAGCAUAGAUCGAACCAACGCAAUUGAGCUGUACACUAAAUAGUUGACUGCGAAGUCUGUGUAUAAUAAACAGCAGGUCGAGUUCAGAAUCAGAAUGUAGCACCAAGGCUUUGCUUUACAGUUUUGAUAAUUAAGUUGAAAGGAAUGCUGCCUGGAAUAAAAAGAAUACAAAAAUCAACCCGUACCAAUGGCAUUUUUCAGCGCCCAGAAAUCUUUUAUUUGAAGCUGUAAAUCAGCGUGGGUGUACCUGAAAUUUGCUAUAAAAAGGGGCAUUGUUAAAAAAAAAAUAUUUUCACCACUAUUGGCAACGUUUUGGCGAGUGGCAUAAAAAUAAUAGGGGCAAAAAAUGCAAUUCCACAAUAGUGCAGAAACUGAUUUUAGGGAGCAAAUUAUAUCUAGGGUAUGACAGCAAUAUCUAGAAACAACAACUUUUUUCUGCAAAGUUGUUCUAUAUGAUGAAGCGUUUAUUUAAAAAAUAUUAAAAUUAGGGUUACUCAAAUUUCCGAUGAAAUCAUGCAUCUAGUUAUUUAUUUUUGUCGAUAGAAACUUUGUAGAAAAAAGCUUUUCUUAAUCUUUGAGACUAAUCGAAAUUUUUUGGAUUUUUUUUUAUUCUCGCUUGUUUUCCGUCGGUCAAGUUCCGCCACUGUUGUUGUGCCAAUCACCGACGCCCGGGAGGCGACUCCACCAGAACCCUAACUCACGACCCGUUGAUUAACGGACCGGCGCCAACUGCUUUACUUCC
Molecule: long non-coding RNA, 2000 nt
Organism: Wyeomyia smithii (pitcher-plant mosquito)
Lineage: Eukaryota; Metazoa; Arthropoda; Insecta; Diptera; Culicidae
Exons: 3
Source: RefSeq, a predicted model, not a curated record